This 1695-nucleotide unclassified non-coding RNA is filed under the name Hevea brasiliensis (rubber tree). Lineage: Eukaryota; Viridiplantae; Streptophyta; Magnoliopsida; Malpighiales; Euphorbiaceae. The record is from RNAcentral.
GGAAAGUAGUGGCCUCAACCAUUCCAUUGUAUGCUAUGUCAUGUUUUCAUUUUCCAUCUUCCCUUUGCCAUAAGAUCAAUAACUUAGUCUCAAAUUUUUGGUGGGGGUAAUAAAAGGAAGAAAAAAAAUUGCAUUAGAUAGCUUGGUCUCAGUUACGUUAAGAUAAAAGGAGUGGAGGGCUAGGUUUAGAGAUAUGGAAAGCUUUAACAGAGUAUUACUGCUAAACAAUGCUGGAGAAUUCUAUCUCACCCUAAUUUCUUACUGGCCCAUCUUCUGAAAGGGAAAUACAUCUCUUAUUCCUCUUUUUAGUGGGCACAUCAAUGUAAUAGAGUUUCAUGGGGUUGGCAGAGUAUUCUUUGGGGCAGGAAUGUGCUUAAGCAUGGCAUCUACUGGAAUGUAGGGAAUGGAGCAUCCAUCUUAUGCAAGGAAGAUAACUGGGUGCCGAAUUUAUUUCCUCACCCACCUCGUGUCAAAACAAAUCAUAAUCCUAUAGUUGUUUGCGUUUCCCAGUUGAUUCAGAGAUCUACCAACUCUUGGAUUAUUCAUGCUCUUAACGAAAAUUUUCUAGAGGAAGUUGUCCAACAGAUUCUUGCUAUGCCUAUACCUUGGUUUCAGAGGGAAGACAGAAUGGUUUGGCACUUUGACAUUAAGGGCAAUUGUACUAUGAAGUCAAGUUAUAAGGUAGCUUGUCUAAUUCACUCUUAACAAAGAUUCAGCUCAAGGAGGUCCAAGACCAAAUUAUUAGAACAAAAAUUCUUCUUUUUGGUGUGUUUUUUGGAGGCUGCAAAAGCCCAAUAAAUUGAAAAUCUUUCUUUAGUGCCUUUUUCAUGAAAAACUGUCGUGUAAUGAUUUAUUAAACAAACAACUUCACAUUGUUCCUGACUGUAUUUUCUAUAACUAAAGGGAAACUCUUCACCAUCUUUUUUUUAUCUGUCCUUAUGUUGCAACUCUAUGGCUUCAUUCUCCCAUACUAUUACAGUCCACUCUUUUAUCUAAUUCCAACAUGAUGAAUUGCUAGACUGAAGUCACUUCUCCUCUUUCAAUGCAUCAAGAGGGUAAGGAGCUCAUUCAGAGGAUUGCCUUCAUAUUCUGGCACCUUUGGAAAAGCCAGAAUGCAAAGAUUUUUAACAAUUAAAAUUUUAGGUUCCAAGAGGUUCUUUUUGCAGCAUCCAAACACUUUGAAGAAUUUCAGGAGGCAAAUGUUUCAGAGGCAAUAUCCCACUCCCAUUUUAUCUCUCCUAUGCAGUUGUGGUCUCCUCCCCCAACUCCCUUAUGCAAAAUCAAUUUUGAUGCCGCAGUUGAUAAGAGUCGAAAUAAGGAAGUUGUGGCCAGAGUUUACAAGGAUCAUUCAAGUAGUGUCUUGGAUUAGAGGUGCAAACUUUGUUCCUCUAUGAAAAAUCCUUCGAUUUUAAAGAGUGUAGCAUACAAGGAGGCAAUUCUGUGUGCCAAGGAUAGAGGCUUUAAUAAUGCAGUGAUUGAAGGUGAUUCUUCAAUUGUCAUUGAUGCUUUGUGGGGUAAUCCUUCCUCAGUCAUCAUACAAAGUGUCAUCUUGGCCAUCCUGGAAUUAUCCAAAAGCCUCGCAAACAUUAGCUUCUUAGUCAUUCGGAGAGGUUGCAACGCAGCAGUGCAUACUUGCUUCUUAGUGUAUUCACGAUGCUAAUUUCAAAUAUAACUCUUAUAUGCAACUAAAUUUUG